AUGUCUGAGGGUGUUGUCAGAAAAAUCCAGCCCUUUACCAUUGGGACCAGGCUGUCUGUCCCCUCUGAAGCCAAAUGCCAGGAGAUUGUGGAUGUCUAUCUGCCGAAGUCUGCUGCUCCGAACAAGUUGGAGCUGCAGAACAACCUACACGACCAAAUGUCCCUUUACAUGGGCCAGUCCCAGGGGUGGCCUGAGACUGGGAACUCGGAACUCCCACAAGUGGCCGUCCAGGUCUACGCUUCAACACCAGAGGGACAUCAGGAUGAGAGAGUGGAGGAGGACAGGAAUUCUGUGUCCCCCACUGCAUCCUCUAGGUCCAUCAGGAAGAUUGCUAUAUGCAGGAAUGCCGAGACAGUCCCCGACGUGUCCUUGUGUGACUCUGACCUGGCCACCUCAGUCAGUUCCACGUCGGAGACCAUCCGAAGCAACAGUGUUCACCCAAAACCGCCAUCCUUGAGAGUAGAGGACGACUUGGAUAAGAUAUCCAACUCUCAGUCUAAGGAUGGACAUCAGUACGAGACGCUUGACGUGGAGACCGACCACAAGGGAGAGAAGAGGAAGAGACUGCAACAGAUAGAAGGCAACAAAGUCCCUUCCCGAGAAAACACCGUUAACCAAACCUGCCUGAGGUUCCAGUCACUGUUAAGAAACUAUCACCAAGACCUCAAACUGGCUCUGGACGUCUCCUCCUUCUACCAACAGGCUGACAACAUCAUCUGCACCAUCAACAGGAAGAGAAGCGUCCUGUCUGGAUCCGAUAACCAGGGGAGCUGCGGUCAGACAGAGAUCUACAAUAUUGCCAGCCAAAUCACGAUGCUGAACGAGACUGUUUCACGCCUUUCGGACCUCCACCCUACCCUGGCUGCCAGAGUGACACGGAAGCAGGCUGAGGUGCAGGAGAGUUGGGGCCUUCUCCAGGAGGGUAGCGGGAGCGAGUGGCCAGAUUUGCCCACCACCCUUGCCAUAGACUUCUCCUGUGAUGAACCUGGCCCACUGAGUCAAACCAGAGAUCCGGAACAUGAGGCCCAGAGGAUCAUAGGAAAGGACAUCAAAGAGGAACAGAACCCUCUCAAAGGGUUCGAGAACAUGAAAGACUGUGGGAUCCCCAGGAAGCUGACUGUUAGUCAAGUUGAAGAACAGCCUUCCAAAAGCUAUGCCCGAGUCUCCUGUGACACCACCAGCAAUGACUUGACUGGAAGACUGUGUGUGGAGAGGCAAAGAAAGGACCAGACAACCCAUUUGAACACCAGUUUUCCAGGUUGCCAAUCAGAACUUGGUAUUCAGUUGCAAAAUUCUACCACAUCUGCUGAUAAGACUCUGUCAUGGCUGAAAGACAACCUUGCUAUGUCAACCCCCAGCCACCACACAGCCAGUCUGAGUGGUCCAGAGGAAAAGCCAGAGUCAACCCAAGGCCCGCACCAAGAUUGUGUGAAGAUGGAAGACCUCCUUGGCCAAGUGGAAAUGUUAUGGGAAGUUCUGAGGAGAAGACUUCAUAGAAGCAUGAUUUAUUCAAACAGCUCUGAGAGGCUCAAGUUUGAGAGGGAUGACAAUCAUGAGACAGACAAGGAUCGGCUCGAGGGAUGCCUUUCAGAAUACAGUGCAACCACGGAAAACGUGCAAUUCUGGAGCGUCCCAGAUGUCAAGGAUCUCUCUGAGACAUUGGAGGAAAACGACAGAGGAAUGCUGACAGAGCUGCUGAGGUGUCUUGACCAGGAUGAAAACUUUGAUCAUUGUGAGGUAGAGGAACAGACCCUUACUGGACAAAUGGAUGACCAAGGGUGCAUGGACUACCCUAUGGAGGACCUUGGUGAAGCAGUGGAGAAAAGAGGACAUUCCCUCUAUCAAAGUGAAGACAUCCAAGAACUUAUGAGUCAGCACUCAACACUGACGCUGCGCAUCAACCAGCUCUUGUCCAGGUGUGCAGAGUUCAGCAUGGACAUUCUGGACACUGAGACGGACAUGGCAGUCAGAUGUGAGCCCUAUAGUUCUGAACUCGAGGGACUGCAGGAGCAACAGGAUGAGCUAGAGAGGGACUAUCAGGUCAUAAAAGAGGAGGUGGAAGAGAUGGAGGGACUGGCUUUGCGACUACAGGUCCUCCUACCUGAAAUGCCAGGGGCUUUGGGGGAGGACAUCCAUGCGACCCAGCACGCUUGGGAGGAGUUGGGCUUGAGCAUGGCAGAGAACCAAUGCAACCUCCAACAAUUUCAGCAACUGCAAGACUUUCUUAGGGCCUACCUGGCCAUGAUGUGA
RNAcentral lists this long non-coding RNA (2250 nucleotides) under Oncorhynchus mykiss (rainbow trout). Its description in RNAcentral is "lncRNA (ENSOMYG00000030431.2)". Lineage: Eukaryota; Metazoa; Chordata; Actinopteri; Salmoniformes; Salmonidae. The record is from RNAcentral.